GCCGGGAUGGUCUAUUUGGUUAAAACGUCGCCCUGGACAGGCGAAGGUUGCAGGUUCAAUCCCCGCUCCUGGCC
Non-coding RNA from Ixodes scapularis (black-legged tick), 74 nucleotides. Lineage: Eukaryota; Metazoa; Arthropoda; Arachnida; Ixodida; Ixodidae. The record is from Rfam.